CAUUAGUAUCAGCACGAUGUUGUGGUUGUGUAGGAUUGGAAUAAGGUGGAAUUCCAGUGUUUCUUGGUCUUGGGCGCAAAAGUUCUUCCAAAGAGUCAGCGCUGCUAGAUCCCACCUCCUCCGCUAAUACUCUUUCUACAUUUAUCCCUUCAUUACGUGCUUCUUCAGCAACUCUGGGAGAUGGGUUGCCUUCAUCAUCAUCUAAAUGAAGAGGUAUAAUCCAUUGAUAAAGUUGGUUACCCUCUGUAUCAUCAUCUUCAGCAACAAUAUCAAACACAUAUAGUGGGUCACCACGGUCGACAUGAUCUAUUUCUGCUUCCUUAUCUCGAAUUUGAAGCUUCAUGUUGUAGUAGCAAUAAACUAAUUUUUCCAACUUACUAUGAGCCAACCUAUUUCUUUGCUUUGUGUGUAUGAGUGCAAAUGUGCUCCAAUUUCUUUC
RNAcentral lists this long non-coding RNA (439 nucleotides) under Malus domestica (apple). Its description in RNAcentral is "long non-coding RNA (MDOM_LNC009103)". The record is from RNAcentral. Lineage: Eukaryota; Viridiplantae; Streptophyta; Magnoliopsida; Rosales; Rosaceae.